This 85-nucleotide transfer RNA is filed under the name Prevotella denticola. Its description in RNAcentral is "tRNA-Ser". It matches the Rfam family "tRNA". Rfam says of the family: Transfer RNA (tRNA) molecules are approximately 80 nucleotides in length. Lineage: Bacteria; Pseudomonadati; Bacteroidota; Bacteroidia; Bacteroidales; Prevotellaceae. RNAcentral also lists the same sequence under 1 other name. The record is from RNAcentral.
GGAGAGAUGGUAGAGUGGUCGAUUACAACGGUCUUGAAAACCGUCGUACCGAGAGGUACCGGGGGUUCGAAUCCCCCUCUCUCCG